This 74-nucleotide transfer RNA is filed under the name archaeon. RNAcentral's name for it is "tRNA-Thr". It matches the Rfam family "tRNA". From Rfam's summary of the family: Transfer RNA (tRNA) molecules are approximately 80 nucleotides in length. The record is from RNAcentral.
GCCUCCAUAGCUCAGUUGGUUAGAGCAUGCGCUUAGUAAGCGUAAGGUCUUGGGUUCGAAUCCCAAUGGAGGCU